CUCUUGAUGAUUCUGAUGUUGGCUUUGUCAAAUAAUGUCUUGAAUUUGUUGUUCCUGCAUAAACAAGCUAAGAGUACAAGUGGAACUAGUUAUGGAUAAAAUAUGUUCAUGUCAUGUCAUUUCCCCUUGCAACCGAGGCAUGUUGACGGUGUUUUGUAUGUGGAUUUCUAUGGUAUAUCCACCGUCAACAAGAUCCCCCAAGCUUAACCUUUGCUUGUCCCGAGCAAACAAUCAAACUUAGCCUCGGUGGAUCAGGUAUUGUUACUAUGUUCACAUUUCAAGAGUACCAUGUGUACAACAAAGUUCUUCUCUUUGCAUGAAAAAUUUAGCUAUGUAAACUUACCCGUAUUACCUUAGUCCCUUAUGGGGCUUAUGGCUUUUCCUUUGUCUUAGGUGGUUGAGAGACAGAACAGUUUGACUUGAGCACUAACUUUCUCAUUCUUAGCAAGUUUCAUAUCAGAGGUUUUGUGAUAUUUUCAAAAGAAAGCUUAAAUGUUCCUCUUAUGGUUCUCUCAUGUCACUCAAAUGGUGUAUGAUUCCUCACCAAGGCAUAUGGUAAGAGUUGCCUUCUCUAUUUCAUCCUAUUUCUAAAAGGCUUAUGUGGAGUUCAAGGUAGGGAUGAAAGGAGAUAGCAUACUUACUUUGCAUGUAUUGCGAAGUCAAAGCUCGGAUCCUUGAAAAGAAGUGUCAUACUCCCAGAUCAAGAUGUGCAAGUGUGAUAUAUGGUGGACUAGGUUGCUCCUUUAUUUGAUAGACUCUCUAUGUAUUGAGACAUGGCUAGCAUUUUUUUUUUCUUCGAGCUUUCAUGUGCUCAAUUUUCUUUUUCUGUGGACUUGCACAUGUCCAUCUUUUUAUUUUUCUUUUAUUUUGCCAAGCCUUUUGAUGUCUCAUUUACCAAAUAAUGCUUAGAGAGAUGUUCUAACAUUUAGAGUAUGGAGCAACCUAUUUAGUGGAUGCGAAAUACAUGUGGUUGCGUACUUCCAGUGUAGAAGUAGCAUGUAUAUAUGUGGU
This 1011-nucleotide long non-coding RNA is filed under the name Sorghum bicolor (sorghum). RNAcentral describes it as "long non-coding RNA (SBIC_LNC010734)". The record is from RNAcentral. Lineage: Eukaryota; Viridiplantae; Streptophyta; Magnoliopsida; Poales; Poaceae.